UAGAGAGAGCUGAGGCCGGUCAGUCAGAGAAGAAGAAGAGAUCGCUCGCUCGUUCGAUCCGAACCUCCACUGGCUUUUACGGCCAGUCGUCCUAGCGGCACCCCUCGGUGGCACUCCACAUGCUCCACCCGCGGGAGUUCCGCCGCGAGCGGCUCAAGUAGAGGUGCGAGUAGAAGCAGAAGCGGCCGGUCCCGAGGCCGUACCGGAAGUCGUUCGACUCGGGGCUGCCGCGCCGCUGGGGCCGGCCGGACUAGAGCCGCCGCUAUCGCGUGCGGAAGCGCGACAAGCACCGCCACAGGCACCCGCGGUUGUAGAGGCCGCCCGUGCACUUGGGCCGGCACUGGAAGCCGCGGAAGCACCCGCCGUUGUAGUGGGAGAAGGCGCCGGACGAGAUGACCCAGCGGGUCGAGGACCCGAGGUGGCGGCGGACGAAGGAGGAGGCGAAGAGGUGGCCGCCCGAGGGGUGGCCGUGGAAGCCCGACUGGCCGUAGCCGCGCACCCUCCGCCACCACGACCUCUAGCACUACUGGAAGCCCGACCACAUGUGCCACAUGCGGUGCCGGCACCUGGGGUUCUUCCCGUCGGACCCGUGGUAGCGCGGGUAGCGGUAGCCGAAGUAGCACCCGCGGUUGUAGGACCAGCCGCCGCGGAAGAGGCCGCGCAGGUACUUGGGGCGGCAGAGGAAGCCGGGGCGGGAGCAGUCGACCCUCACCCCCAUGGUCACCCACAUGACCCAGCCGGGGGAGUAGCCGCCGCCGGAGCGGCCGCAGUAGAUGCUCGACGAGAAGUAGAGGGCGUGGGUGCUCGUCGAGGGGUGGUGGCUGAUGAUUCGUUGGUUCGAACGUACGCUCGAGCGGCAGGUAGGCACACUACUAGCUAGCGCAGAGCAGUAGCAGAGGAAGGAACGGUAGCGGUACUCAGCAAAAUCAAACGAAACUUACUUAGGUAGGUAGGGACCCAGCUAGCCAGCCGGUCAUCAGCUCAGUCAAACACCACGCAAGCACGCACCUCGACAUUUUCGCACCUACUAGAGCUAGACCCUGCUGGCUGGGACAGUUAAACGAAGACAUUUUGACACUUAAGCGGGCGGGGCGGGCUCAUUAAAGUUCAAGUCAACUCAAACUUGGGCAGCACGGAAGAACCAUC
This 1146-nucleotide ribosomal RNA is filed under the name Triticum aestivum (bread wheat). RNAcentral describes it as "partial small subunit ribosomal RNA". Lineage: Eukaryota; Viridiplantae; Streptophyta; Magnoliopsida; Poales; Poaceae. The record is from RNAcentral.